GGAGGAGUUCCGGUGUGAGCACUUCCGCGGGCAGUUGAAAAGAGCUGGUUUGCAUGCAGUCUUCUCUGUGUGUUUUCUGGUUUGCGGAGUUUGUUGUGGCGCGGGCGGUAGGUUGAAGAAGGUCCUUUCCAUUCCUGUGACUCUGGGAUUUGCCAACAUCCUGAUGAAGUGCACCAUGUUGUUCUUCACUCACCUGGGAAUGGAAGUAGUCAGAACUUUAAGUUGUAUACUGUCUAGUUGGUGGCCAGAAUUUUAACCUCUACCGUGUGGUGACUGUCUCAUCAGAUGGAGCAAAAGAUGAUCCUGAAUCAAAAACAAAAUGAAAUCAUGGUGAUCACCACAACCACCAUUUCACCCUGUAGGAAAAACCAAAACCAUAUCUAGUCUGGAUAGACUAGAUCUAGAGUUCUAGACCGGGGGUCAGCAAACUAUGGCCUGUGGGUCAAAUCUGGGCCAUCAUCUGUUUUUGUAAAUAAAGUUUUAUUGGAACAUAGCCACUCUUAUUUGUUUCUAUAUUGUCUAUGAUGCUUCUGUGCUACAACAGCAGAGUUGAGUAGCUGAAACAGAGACAGUAUGGCUUGCAAAGCUUAGAAUAUUUACCUUCUGACCCUUUACAGAAAAAAAAAAUUGCCCAUCCCUGUUCUAGACAAUAUUUAACGGCCUCUUCCAUGACCUGUCAAUGAGGACCAAAAGGUAAAUGAGAAUGGAAAAUUCCACUCUUGCCUGAAGGACCUUACUCAUGCUCUCAGGUAUUUAAAC
This 759-nucleotide long non-coding RNA is filed under the name Equus caballus (horse). RNAcentral describes it as "lncRNA (ENSECAG00000045074.1)". Lineage: Eukaryota; Metazoa; Chordata; Mammalia; Perissodactyla; Equidae. The record is from RNAcentral.